UGGGCGANCCUGAUGGAGCACGCCGCGUGCAGGAUGAAGGCCUUCGGGUUGUAAACUGCUUUUANNAGUGAGGAAUAUGACGGUAACUUAUGAAUAAGGAUCGGCUAACUACGUGCCAGCAGCCGCGGUCAUACGUAGGAUCCGAGCGUUAUCCGGAGUGACUGGGCGUAAAGAGUUGCGUAGGUGGUUUGUUAAGUAGAUAGUGAAAUCUGGCGGCUCAACCGUACAGGCUAUUAUCUAAACUGACAAACUCGAGAGUGGUAGAGGUUACUGGAAUUUCUAGUGUAGGAGUGAAAUCCGUAGAUAUUAGAAGGAACACCAAUGGCGUAGGCAGGUAACUGGACCAUUUCUGACACUAAGGCACGAAAGCGUGGGGAGCGAACCGGAUUAGAUACCCGGGUAGUCCACGCCGUAAACGAUGGAUACUAGCUGUUGAAGGUAUCGACCCCUUCAGUAGCGAAGCUAACGCGUUAAGUAUCCCGCCUGUGGAGUACGGUCGCAAGACUAAAACAUAAAGGAAUUGACGGGGACCCGCACAAGCGGUGGAUCGUGUUCUUUAAUUCGAUGCUAAACGAAGAACCUUACCAGGGCUUGACAUCCAGGGAAUUUUUGGGAAACCAAUUAGUGCCUUUUGGAACCCUGUGACAGGUGAUGCAUGGCCGUCGUCAGCUCGUGUCGUGAGAUGUUUGGUUAAGUCCAUCAACGAGCGCAACCCUUGUACUUAGUUGAAUUUUUCUAGGUAGACUGCCCCGGUAACGGGGAGGAAGGAGGGGAUGAUGUCAGGUCAAUAUUUCCCUUACGUCCUGGGCUAGAAACACGAUACAAUGGCAAGUACAAUGCGCAGCGAAGCCGCGAGGUGGAGCAAAUCGCAUCAAAGCUUGGUCCCAGUC
This 890-nucleotide ribosomal RNA is filed under the name uncultured bacterium. Its description in RNAcentral is "bacterial SSU rRNA". It matches the Rfam family "Bacterial small subunit ribosomal RNA", at positions 372 to 1293 of the family's 1533-position model. The record is from RNAcentral.